This 209-nucleotide ribosomal RNA is filed under the name uncultured bacterium. RNAcentral describes it as "partial 16S ribosomal RNA". It matches the Rfam family "Bacterial small subunit ribosomal RNA", at positions 524 to 732 of the family's 1533-position model. The record is from RNAcentral.
UACGUAGGGACCAAGCGUUGUUCGGAUUUACUGGGCGUAAAGGGUGCGUAGGCGGCGCGGUAAGUCGGGUGUGAAAUCUCGGAGCUUAACUCCGGAACUGCAUUCGAUACUGCCGUGCUUGAGGACUGGAGAGGAGACUGGAAUUUACGGUGUAGCGGUGAAAUGCGCAGAUAUCAGGAGGAACACCGAUGGCGAAGGCAGGUCUCUGG